RNAcentral lists this transfer RNA (75 nucleotides) under Shewanella putrefaciens. Its description in RNAcentral is "tRNA-Gln". Lineage: Bacteria; Pseudomonadati; Pseudomonadota; Gammaproteobacteria; Alteromonadales; Shewanellaceae. The record is from RNAcentral.
UUUAAACGGUUGUAUUGCUCUAGCCCGUCUAACCCUUGCUCCCACAACUGACCAAAGCGUGCCUCUUGCCAUGCC